UUUCCGUAGGUGAACCUGCGGAAGGAUCAUUAAUGAGUUGUCAUGGUGUUGGAUGCUGGCAGCCAAUUUUUGGAUGCAUGUGCUUGCCCUAACAAUCAUCUUCCAAACACCUGUGCACAUUUUUGAGGGUGUCUUGAGUUGGUUGCCGCUCUUGGGUGAUUUUCUCACAUUCCCUUAAAUCAUUAUACACUAUUAACAAUGUUGAACGUGCUCUGUGCCGCAAGGCUAUUAAUAUAAUACAACUUUUAACAACGGAUCUCUUGGCUCUC
Molecule: unclassified non-coding RNA, 269 nt
Filed under: plant metagenome
Description: partial contains small subunit ribosomal RNA, internal transcribed spacer 1, and 5.8S ribosomal RNA
Source: RNAcentral